This is a long non-coding RNA of Etheostoma cragini (Arkansas darter), 325 nucleotides long. RefSeq lists it as uncharacterized. The transcript is spliced from 4 exons. The record is from RefSeq and is a predicted model, not a curated record. Lineage: Eukaryota; Metazoa; Chordata; Actinopteri; Perciformes; Percidae.
CCUGAACAGAUACUUACUAGAGCACAAAACGACAGUCAGCGACAUUAAAGAAUGUCUUGUUUAUUGCUAAAGCCAUAUGGUCAAAAUCAAAUGAUUGAUCAAUAAUAUAAUAAGAAUAACUUUUAACAAUGACUUUUUUCACAAGUAUGUUUCUUGUAAACGACAAUAACAAGCACCCAAUGGGAAAAGGGUAUUUUACAAUGACUUGAAAUGCACCACGAGGCUGGCGAGUUUCCAGUGAACGCACCGUCUCUGUGUUGUUUUUCCGACCAACGGCAGCUGUAGUGUCCCCGUGUUGGAGUCCUCUACAGGGAAACACUGUCCC